CUUGGCUGGCUGUAGCAGCAGCAGAGGAGCCUGCAAACUGUUGGUGGUUCUUGGGAGAUGGUUUGAAAACUGCUGACCCUGCAGCCCACGCGGGAAUCCUGUUGUAGGGUAGAGGAAUGCGCUUUUCUGUUACAUCUCAUGGCCGUUUUCUUCACUGUCACUGAACUAUUUAUCUGCUCUUUUAAGGAAACUCACCUCAGUUCCAAUCUGCCAGUAUGGCUGGAAUUGCAGUUCCAAUUGUUAUUGUCAUCGUCGUCGUUGUCGUCAUUGCUCUGUGCUACGUGCACCGGCAAAAACACAAAAAAGCCUUGCAGAAGUACACUCCAGGACCUGCUGGUGACGAAGAGGCUGAUGCAGAAAAAAACACGGUUUACGCCCAAGUCGGUAAUUUGCCACUGCCUUACAGUAGAACAGGGACUCCGAAAGGGGGGCUGGAGACCAAGGAGGACGAGACAAAAACGAUCUAUGCCACGGUCCAGAACCCAAACCAGUCGCCUCCGCAAACGGAUGAUGAGAAGCUGGGCAGGGAUGGCCUGGAGUCCAUGAAGAAGGGCGAGAAAACCAUUUAUGCCACAGUCAACCAGCCAACCCAGACAAAGACCACCAAGUCCACAGAUGCUGAUGAAUCUGCAGCCACUCCAAAACCCCAAAGGACGACAGAAUAUGACAAGAUCAUCUAAUAGCUUGUCAAGGCAACACAAACAUGUGGCGAGAAACAAGGGAUAAUUCAGUACCCCAGCAUCAGACACCCAAACAGCAGAGGAUCAAUGCAUAUGAUUUGUACAGCACCUUGCACAAUAGGGUCCCAGUCCCUGACUGGGCUCCCAUCUGCUACUGCAAUUGUAAUGUAGACAGACCCUGGUCCUUGGCGGGCAGGCUGUCAGCACAAACUCUUCCUACACAAGGAGCUGAUUUGUGCAACUGCUCAACAAAGAGGUGUUUUCCCCAGAUAUGCACUAUG
RNAcentral lists this long non-coding RNA (961 nucleotides) under Gopherus agassizii (Agassiz's desert tortoise). Its description in RNAcentral is "lncRNA (ENSGAGG00000008804.1)". Lineage: Eukaryota; Metazoa; Chordata; Testudines; Testudinidae. The record is from RNAcentral.